GGGGAGUUAGCUCAGUUGGGAGAGCGCUCACUUGCUUGCAAGUGAGAAGACGAAGGUUCAAUCCCUCCAUUCUCCA
The sequence is a transfer RNA, 76 nucleotides long. It matches the Rfam family "tRNA". From Rfam's summary of the family: Transfer RNA (tRNA) molecules are approximately 80 nucleotides in length. The record is from Rfam.